This 427-nucleotide ribosomal RNA is filed under the name uncultured bacterium. RNAcentral's name for it is "partial 16S ribosomal RNA". It matches the Rfam family "Bacterial small subunit ribosomal RNA", at positions 355 to 774 of the family's 1533-position model. The record is from RNAcentral.
UGGGGAAUAUUGCACAAUGGGCGCAAGCCUGAUGCAGCCAUGCCGCGUGUAUGAAGAAGGCCUUCGGGUUGUAAAGUACUUUCAGCGAGGAGGAAGGCGUUGUGGUUAAUAACCGCAGCGAUUGACGUUACUCGCAGAAGAAGCACCGGCUAACUCCGUGCCAGCAGCCGCGGUAAUACGGAGGGUGCAAGCGUUAAUCGGACUUACUGGGCGUAAAGCGCACGCAGGCGGUCUGUCAAGUCGGAUGUGAAAUCCACGGGCUCAACCUGGGAACUGCAGCCGAAACUGGCAGGCUAGAGUCUUGUAGAGGGGGGUAGAAUUCCAGGUGUAGCGGUGAAAUGCGUAGAGAUCUGGAGGAAUACCGGUGGCGAAGGCGGCCCCCUGGACAAAGACUGACGCUCAGGUGCGAAAGCGUGGGGAGCAAACA